RNAcentral lists this ribosomal RNA (884 nucleotides) under uncultured archaeon. RNAcentral's name for it is "bacterial SSU rRNA". It matches the Rfam family "Archaeal small subunit ribosomal RNA", at positions 35 to 922 of the family's 1478-position model. The record is from RNAcentral.
GGGGCGCGGAUGAACUAGCAUGCGAGUCAUUGUAGCAAUACAAGGCAGGCGGCUCAGUAACGCGUAGUCAACCUAACCUAUGGACGGGAAUAAUCUCGGGAAACUGAGAAUAAUGCCCGAUAGAACACUAUAUCUGGAAUGGUUUGUGUUCCAAAUGAUUUAUCGCCAUAGGAUGGGACUGCGGCCUAUCAGUUUGUUGGUGAGGUAAUGGCCCACCAAGGCUAUUGCAGGUACGGGCUCUGAGAGGAGUAGCCCGGAGAUGGGUACUGAGACACGGACCCAGGCCCUAUGGGGCGCAGCAGGCGAGAAAACUUUGCAAUGUGCGAAAGCACGACAAGGUUAAUCCGAGUGGUUUCUGCUAAAGGAACCUUUUGUCGGUCCUAGAAACACCGAUGAAUAAGGGGUGGGCAAGUUCUGGUGUCAGCCGCCGCGGUAAAACCAGCACCUCAAGUGGUCAGGAUGAUUAUUGGGCCUAAAGCAUCCGUAGCCGGCUCUGUAAGUUUUCGGUUAAAUCUGUACGCUUAACGUACAGGCUGCCGGGAAUACUGCAUAGCUAGGGAGUGGGAGAGGUAGACGGUACUCGGUAGGAAGGGGUAAAAUCCUUUGAUCUAUUGAUGACCGCCUGUGGCGAAGGCGGUCUACCAGAACACGUCCGACGGUGAGGGAUGAAAGCUGGGGGAGCAAACCGGAUUAGAUACCCGGGUAGUCCCAGCUGUAAACUAUGCAAACUCAGUGAUGCAUUGGCUUGAUGCCAAUGCAGUGCUGCAGGGAAGCCGUUAAGUUUGCCGCCUGGGAAGUACGUACGCAAGUAUGAAACUUAAAGGAAUUGGCGGGGGAGCACCACAAGGGGUGAAGCCUGCGGUUCAAUUGGAGUCAACGCCGGG